RNAcentral lists this ribosomal RNA (427 nucleotides) under uncultured bacterium. Its description in RNAcentral is "bacterial SSU rRNA". It matches the Rfam family "Bacterial small subunit ribosomal RNA", at positions 355 to 774 of the family's 1533-position model. The record is from RNAcentral.
UGGGGAAUUUUGGACAAUGGGCGAAAGCCUGAUCCAGCAAUGCCGCGUGCAGGAUGAAGGCCCUCGGGUUGUAACCUGCUUUUGUACGGAACGAAAAGCCUGGGGCUAAUACCCCCGGGUCAUGACGGUACCGUAAGAAUAAGCACCGGCUAACUACGUGCCAGCAGCCGCGGUAAUACGUAGGGUGCAAGCGUUAAUCGGAAUUACUGGGCGUAAAUCGUGCGCAGGCGGUUAUGCAAGACAGAGGUGAAAUCCCCGGGCUCAACCUGGGAACUGCCUUUGUGACUGCAUAGCUAGAGUACGGUAGAGGGGGAUGGAAUUCCGCGUGUAGCAGUGAAAUGCGUAGAUAUGCGGAGGAACACCGAUGGCGAAGGCAAUCCCCUGGACCUGCACUGACGCUCAUGCACGAAAGCGUGGGGAGCAAACA